Molecule: ribosomal RNA, 467 nt
Filed under: uncultured bacterium
Lineage: Bacteria
Description: bacterial SSU rRNA
Rfam family: Bacterial small subunit ribosomal RNA
Source: RNAcentral
UUCCAGACUCCUACGGGAGGCAGCAGUGAGGAAUAUUGGUCAAUGGGCUUACGCCUGAACCAGCCAAGUCGCGUGAGGGAAGACUGCCCUAUGGGUUGUAAACCUCUUUUGUCAGGGAGCAAUUGGCGCUACGUGUAGCGUUAUCGAGAGUGCCUGAAGAAAAAGCAUCGGCUAACUCCGUGCCAGCAGCCGCGGUAAUACGGAGGAUGCGAGCGUUAAUCGGAAUUACUGGGCGUAAAGCGCUCGUAGGCGGUAUGUCAAGUCAAGGGUGAAAUCCCCGCGCUCAACGUGGGAACUGCCUUUGAAACUGGCAAACUGGAGUGUGUGAGAGGAUAGUGGAAUUCCAGGUGUAGGAGUGAAAUCCGUAGAUAUCGGGAGGAACAUCAGUGGCGAAGGCGACUAUCUGGCACAUAACUGACGCUGAGGAGCGAAAGCGUGGGUAGCAAACAGGAUUAGAUACCCCUGUA